Molecule: ribosomal RNA, 472 nt
Filed under: uncultured bacterium
Lineage: Bacteria
Description: SSU rRNA
Rfam family: Bacterial small subunit ribosomal RNA
Source: RNAcentral
AGGACGAACGCUGGCGGCGUGCUUAACACAUGCAAGUCGAGCGGAAAGGCCCUUCGGGGUACUCGAGCGGCGAACGGGUGAGUAACACGUGAGCAACCUGCCCUUAGCUCUGGGAUAGCUCCGGGAAACCGGAAUUAAUACCGGAUACGACCUAGGCCGACAUCGGCCAUGGUGGAAAGUUUUUCGGCUAGGGAUGGACUCGCGGCCUAUCAGCUAGUUGGUGGGGUAAAGGCCUACCAAGGCGACGACGGGUAGCCGGCCUGAGAGGGCGACCGGCCACACUGGGACUGAGACACGGCCCAGACUCCUACGGGAGGCAGCAGUGGGGAAUCUUGCGCAAUGGGCGAAAGCCUGACGCAGCGACGCCGCGUGGGGGAUGAAGGCCUUCGGGUUGUAAACCCCUUUCAGCAGGACGAAGCGAAAGUGACGGUACCUGCAGAAGAAGCGCCGGCUACUACGUGCCAGCAGCCGC